UCCCUCCUGCUCCAGCCCGGGGCCGGGUCCGCCCGUCCCGCCGUUCAGGCGAGGAGCUGCUGAGGGGCAGAACCAAGGCUUAGAAAUGUCUCUCCCCGGUGUUUUGUGGAGCUACACACACACACCUUCUUGAGAAUUCUCAUGGUCUCCAAAUGCAGUAUACAGUCUUCUGGCAGAGAGGACAUCUGCAAGAAUGCACUGGAGGGCAGCAGAUUCCAACUUCUGCUAUGCCAUGAAGAGCUUCAAAAGGGGGAAAAAAGAAACUUUAGCCUACCAUUGGCCUUUUGUUCCAUUGAUGCACGUAUUUUUCAGAGACUUGUGUACAAAGCGGAUGUCAAGGGGUAAUCCAUGAACUGUGAUACUCCCCAGGCUUCUCCAUCAUCCUGUCUGCUGUAGGCCCAUGAUACAGACAGCUGAAGGGAUCCUGAUAAAUUACUGACCAAGUUCAAAAUACACAUCCAAAAAGAAGACUGAAGGGAAUGAGAAGAUGAUCCAGAUUAAAUGUGUGCUGAAAGACGAAUGAUUUGCCUUUGGUCUUUUGAUGUAACAGUUUCCCUGAGGAUCAGAGACUGCAAGGUGAGGAGCAGAUACUGUUUUUUUGUAAGGGCAAGUUAAAGGGGAAACAGCCUAUACUGGUAGAUCCCAAACUGAGUGUUUCAAAAUGAUGCGAAGUGAAACCUUGUAACUAAGAGUGUUUAACUGAUUCACUUAGUUUGGAUAACGCCAAAGUGGGGAGCAGCAUCACACCUAAACCAGGCUGCAGAUCUGAGGCAACAGCAACUUCUGAUGAAAAAUUAGCUGGGGACUAUAAUCAGCAACAAGAGAAAACUUGAAGGGAGUGACCCUCUUGGGCUGUCCCAGCUGAAAUCAGGGAUGCAUGUUUGAGGCCUAACAAGCAAAAGAGCAGUGAUGAUAUAAAACAACACAGUCAGGAGUUCCCUACUGGAGGACUUCUGAUUUCUAGCAAGCAUAAAGUUGUCCACGUACAAGUGCUGAAUUCAAGAAAUUCAAGACUUUGCAAGAGUUCUGGGCAAAACAGAAGCAGGCAUUUAUGAAAUAUUUAUUAGGUGUAAAUUUCUCUCCCCUGUGCAAGGUGAAUGAAAUGUAAAAAAUAAGAUAUAAGUGAAAGAGGCCCAGGAUAGUUGAGAGAAACCAGAAUCUGCAUAAGAAUACACUGAAGCGUAUUUCUGCAGCAAAUCAUGCGAUGUAGUGUUUCAAGUGCUAGAUUCUUAAUUGCAUUUUUAUAACUUCUACUUGCAAUACUAGAAUUGUACAGUGGAGUCAAAGCAUUUUUUGAGCAAUAGGAGUGAAUGUUAUUUGAAUAUCAAAGCACUAAUUUUUUUAUCAUUAUUAUUUGUUUGUAGCAUUCUAGCAGACACACAGCAAUUAUAUCUGUAUUUUCUACUCCCCUUCUUCUAUCUUCAGCUUAUUCAUCUUCUUCCUAUGUUUUGAAGCCCACUAAAAGCCUUCAUUCAGCAGAGUAUGUGAACAGAAUCUUUGUUCAGUAAAAUGCUUAAUUAUGUUUUACAGUGGUAUUCUUAUGAGUUAGGAGCACGUGUUAGGAGCACUGCACUGGGACCAGGUCCCGUCCUUGUGAAGGGCGUGAUUUAAGCACAGUCUUACUCAUGUAUCUCUGCAGUUCUCUGUCCCCUUCCUUCUAAUGCUCACCCUCAGCUGAGGACAAUAUUCUAACCACUAAUGAUUUGAAGUCAAGAUAGUUGUAUCUGAAUAUAGUAGCUUCCAUCAACCUCCCUGUAAAAUGUCAUACUCUGAUUAUUGCAAGCAGUUUGGAACAGAUAGCCAGGUAGGAAGUGUGUCACUCAAUUAAAAUUCACUGUAGCACCAUCUUAGCUUUCAUAGAGUCACAAGAGGUGCAGACAAUUCUUCUUAACUGUCCUUUAUUUUUUUUUCCCCUGCAUGGCCCUAUAUAUUUACACACUAUAAAGAAAUAAAUGCAUGAUUAUUGGGGUAAAUGGUAUUUUUAAAUAUUGUUCUAAUUUCAUCUUGCAUAAAGCUGUCAGGGUUUUGGAGGGAAUAUGAAGUGUCAGACCCUGAGACUCCCGGUUUUCGCAUUAUCUAUGGCUUUGAGAUAUUCCUGUCUUGAGAAGAAAGUAUAUUGAUAUUUCUGUCCAGUUGAUACUCGAUGAAAUUUUUAUGAUUAUCCUAUUCAUCAGAUGAAUUCUUUUGAGCUUUGCUAGUUCCGCACUGUCCCGGGCGGCCUGGGAGGAGCAGGCUCUUGUCGGAGCAAGAGGCAGAGGAAGGAGCGCAGGUCCCUCGGGCAGGCAGAGCUGUGACUGCCCGCGGGUCCGGCAGAGGGAAGUGUUGUUCUAAAAUUCCCGUCCCUGCAGGAGAGCCUUUGUUGGUCACUGCGAGCACCAGGAAUCAAUGACCUGGAGCGUAUGGAACAUGUGAUUUCUAAAUUGUCAGUAGAAGACAAAGAAGCUUUAGCAAAUGCCAGAAAGAGCAAGUAAGAUAAUAAGGAUAUACCAGGGAAUUAAAUGAAACUAUAUUAAUAACUAUGAAGCUUACAUGUUUUUUAUUAUCUUGAAUAGAAUAAAUGGUAGUAUGGAAUUUUAAGAGUUAAAGAGUUGUGGUCCGAUUGUUCAUGCUUCACCUGUAGCCAUUCAAAUCGAAAGACAGAAUCCUGAGAAUCAUAUAGGCAGAAAUGCACUUGGUGAUUGCAAAGCAAUUGUCAUAGGGUCCUUUAUUUACAGAACAGGCUCAGCUUCAGAUACUGCUGCCAGCAUGAUCACCGAUCAAGAUGCUGCUGCUCCUGCAACUCCAAACACUGCUGGAGGGCUAAAAGACAAGAGAAAUAUAAUCUCUGUAAUAUUAGAAAGAAUUUUCAAUAGCAAAUAUUUUAAAG
Non-coding RNA from Taeniopygia guttata (zebra finch), 2866 nucleotides. NCBI's taxonomy places the organism in Eukaryota, Metazoa, Chordata, Aves, Passeriformes, Estrildidae. The record is from RefSeq and is a predicted model, not a curated record.